Molecule: long non-coding RNA, 688 nt
Organism: Wyeomyia smithii (pitcher-plant mosquito)
Lineage: Eukaryota; Metazoa; Arthropoda; Insecta; Diptera; Culicidae
Exons: 3
Source: RefSeq, a predicted model, not a curated record
UGUUGUUUGUAGUGGAUUGAAGCAGUGUUUUUUUUUCGGCCUUUCCUGCUUUAAAUCGUGCUCUUAAAAUAUGGAAUUUCAUAAUAGCCGCGAACCCCAAAAGAAAAAACCAGCUCGCCAGUGCUACUGUGAAAAUGACGUGCAGCGAAGUCUUCUCAGCAUCAAGGAAGGAAAACAAACUGCUUACUGGGCUGCAAUAUCUUCUACAAAGAAGACACGAAAAGGACCCCAAACGGUGUUGUCGGAGGAGGAGUUGAAACUUGUUGGAUGGAUCAAAAACAUGCAACGAAAGGGUUUUCCGAUUAUAAGGGAAACUCUGAAAUCAAAAAUACAUCGUUUUUCAAUUCUUAUCCACGACCCAAUCCCUUCUGCAAAAAUGUUCCUGGUCGGAAAUGGUUCCAGAGUUUUCUCAAGAGGCAUAAAACCCUCACGAUACGAACGCCAGAGGCUGUCUCCUCAGCGAGUGCCAAGGUAAGCGAGGUCAAUAUUCGGGGCUGGUUUCACGACUUUAAAACAUAUGCGAUAGAGCACGGAACUGCGCACAUUCUUCAGGAUCCGUCAAGGAUGUGGAAUGGAGACGAGACAUGCUUCUACCUAAACCCAAAAAAUAAAGCUGUGUUGGCUAUUCGUGGGAGCCACAAUGUUUACGAAGUAGAACAUGCCAGCAGACGGCUUAGUUGUGCCUCCA